This 497-nucleotide ribosomal RNA is filed under the name uncultured bacterium. RNAcentral describes it as "partial 16S ribosomal RNA". It matches the Rfam family "Bacterial small subunit ribosomal RNA", at positions 28 to 507 of the family's 1533-position model. The record is from RNAcentral.
GAUGAACGCUGGCGGCGUGCCUAAUACAUGCCAGUCGAGCGAACGGACGAGAAGCUUGCUUCUCUGAUGUUAGCGGCGGACGGGUGAGUAACACGUGGAUAACCUACCUAUAAGACUGGGAUAACUUCGGGAAACCGGAGCUAAUACCGGAUAAUAUUUUGAACCACAUGGUUCAAAAGUGAAAGACGGUCUUGCUGUCACUUAUAGAUGGAUCCGCGCUGCAUUAGCUAGUUGGUAAGGUAACGGCUUACCAAGGCAACGAUGCGUAGCCGACCUGAGAGGGUGAUCGGCCACACUGGAACUGAGACACGGUCCAGACUCCUACGGGAGGCAGCAGUAGGGAAUCUUCCGCAAUGGGCGAAAGCCUGACGGAGCAACGCCGCGUGAGUGAUGAAGGUCUUCGGAUCGUAAAACUCUGUUAUUAGGGAAGAACAUAUGUGUAAGUAACUGUGCACAUCUUGACGGUACCUAAUCAGAAAGCCACGGCUAACUACGUG